This 831-nucleotide non-coding RNA is filed under the name Agrypnus binodulus. Lineage: Eukaryota; Metazoa; Arthropoda; Insecta; Coleoptera; Elateridae. The record is from RNAcentral.
UAGUUAUCUUGUUUGAUUUAUGGCUUCAUAAUGUAUAUAUAUAUAAAAUCUUGGGUUGCUUAAGUUGGGGGUACUAAAAAAAGUUUUAUUUUGACUUAAGUUUUUAGUCUAUUGAUUAUUUACAUGUAUAUUAUUGUUCUUAUAUAGGUGUUUUGCAGUAUUUAAUAUUAGAUAUUCAAUUAGUUGAGAUCUAGAAAUCAGUAAGAGUUUUAAUGAAACUUGUGCCAGCAAUUGCGGUUAUACAAGUAAGGCUAUUGAAAUUUUUUGGUUAAUAAUUAGUUGUUAAAUGUUUAGAUUGAUUAAUAAAUUUGAUGGGUGAAAUUUUAAAUUUAUUUAAGUUUUUAUAUUGUUUACGAAGUUGUUAAAGUUCAUUAUUAAACUAGGAUUAGAUACCCUAUUAUUUGAACUGUAAAUUUCCUAUACCUGAUUAUUAGUAGAAUAUUUUCUUGAAAAUUAAAAAAUUUGGCGGUAUUUUAGUCUGUUCAGAGGAACCUGUCCCGUAAUUGAUAGCCCACGAUUUACUUUACUUUCUUUUUUAGUUUGUAUAUCGUCGUGUUUGAAUAUUUCAUAAGAAUAAUAAUAUUCAAAUUGUUCUAUAAAAGCUGAUGUCAGAUCAAGGUGCAGCUUAUGAGAAAGAGGGAGAUGGGUUACUAUAAUAUUAUUUUUGGUUUGUAUAUGUUAAGUUGUUACACUAAAUUGGAUUUGAUAGUAAUAUUGUUUAGAUAUUCGAUGUGAUUUUGGCUCUAAAAUAUGCACAUAUUGCCCGUCGCUUUCAUUAAGGUGAAAUAAGUCGUAACAUAGUAGAUGUACUGGAAAGUGUAUCUAGAAAGA